UGCGGAGGGAUCAUUACUGAGUUACCGCUCAUCAACCCUUUGUGAACAUACCUUAACUGUUGCUUCGGCGGGUAGGCGUCCCCUAAAAAGGACGUCUCCCGGCCCUCUCCCGUCCGCGGGUGGGGCGCCCGCCGGAGGAUAACCAAACUCUGAUUUAACGACGUUUCUUCUGAGUGACACAAGCAAAUAAUCAAAACUUUUAACAACGGAUCUCUUGGUUCUGGCAUCGAUGAAGAACGCAGCGAAAUGCGAUAAGUAAUGUGAAUUGCAGAAUUCAGUGAAUCAUCGAAUCUUUGAACGCACAUUGCGCCCGCCAGCAUUCUGGCGGGCAUGCCUGUUCGAGCGUCAUUUCAACCCUCAAGCUCUGCUUGGUGUUGGGGCUCUACGGUUGACGUAGGCCCUUAAAGGUAGUGGCGGACCCUCUCGGAGCCUCCUUUGCGUAGUAACAUUUCGUCUCGCAUUGGGAUUCGGAGGGACUCUAGCCGUAAAACCCCCAAUUUUACUAAGGUUGACCUCGGAUCAGGUAGGAAUACCCGCUGAACUUAAGCAUAUCAAU
The sequence is a ribosomal RNA, 556 nucleotides long. The stretch from base 195 to 348 matches the Rfam family "5.8S ribosomal RNA".